RNAcentral lists this long non-coding RNA (338 nucleotides) under Phasianus colchicus (ring-necked pheasant). RNAcentral describes it as "lncRNA (ENSPCLG00000015595.1)". Lineage: Eukaryota; Metazoa; Chordata; Aves; Galliformes; Phasianidae. The record is from RNAcentral.
CUGAAUCUUCAACAUGGUGUUUCCCAAGUCUUGUCUGAACCGCAGAAGGGGUGACAAAGAAGUUUGAACCUAACCAAGGCAACAACUUGAAACUGGGGGCAUGAAAGCAUUGCAUCAUCUCUGGCACAUUGAGGAAAAGUAAUCCUAAGACAUUGGCAGUGUUUAAUUGCUCUUGUGAUGAUUCACGUCCUUCAAUAUUGACUGCAAGCCAUACAGGACGUACACAUCUAAAGGGACUUUUUGACCUACUCUAGAACAACAUAUGGAAACCUCCUCUGAAAACCAACAGCCAAGACUGCAUCAAUAAAAGGUAUCUCAUUAGGUAUUACUGAAAAUAU